RNAcentral lists this ribosomal RNA (477 nucleotides) under uncultured bacterium. RNAcentral's name for it is "bacterial SSU rRNA". It matches the Rfam family "Bacterial small subunit ribosomal RNA", at positions 33 to 507 of the family's 1533-position model. The record is from RNAcentral.
ACACGCUGGCGGCGUGCUUAACACAUGCAAGUCGAACGAGAAUCUGUGGAUCGAGGAUUCGUCCAAGUGAAGCAGAGGACAGUGGCGGACGGGUGAGUAACGCGUGAGGAACCUGCCUUUCAGAGGGGGACAACAGUUGGAAACGACUGCUAAUACCGCAUGAUACAUUUGGGUGGCAUCAUCUGAAUGUCAAAGAUUUAUCGCUGAAAGAUGGCCUCGCGUCUGAUUAGCUAGUUGGUGAGGUAACGGCCCACCAAGGCGACGAUCAGUAGCCGGACUGAGAGGUUGAACGGCCACAUUGGGACUGAGAUACGGCCCAGACUCCUACGGGAGGCAGCAGUGGGGAAUAUUGGGCAAUGGGCGCAAGCCUGACCCAGCAACGCCGCGUGAAGGAAGAAGGCUUUCGGGUUGUAAACUUCUUUUGUCAGGGACGAGUAGAAGACGGUACCUGACGAAUAAGCCACGGCUAACUACGUG